CCCAAACUUGAAUGUUUGCUUGUCCUCAAGCAAAAGAAAAACCAUAAAAACAAAGAACAAUAACCAUAGUCAGGCUCAACUCAUCCCACCCAAAGGACCUAUCAUGCAAACAUCAAAUCUUCAACUUAAUACAUAAACAAUAGCAAAUAAAGGAAAACUAAGCAUACUCACAUUCUCUAGAUCAAAUAUCCAUAUAUAAUUCUAAACUUAAUCAUAUUUAUCAUGCGACCAACACAAUUGAAUCAUGUAACAACUCAACCUGCAAUCACCCCUUCUCACUACUACAAACAAGGUAGCAAACUAGAGAGUUUUUUUUUUACCAAUUAUUCUUUGUCUUUAAGUUGUCACUUGCCUUUUGACGUGAAUACAAGCAUUUGUGAUAGAUGCACCCGAUUACUCAACAAGUCACACACUUAAAGUGCUUUUGCUUACUCAUAUUUCAAGUUGCCGUUUGACGUAAAAGUAAACAUUGGUGAUGAAUACCUCUAGUUACUAAGCAACUCAAAACAUUGGAGUAGAUAGAACUUUGUACACAUUUAUUUAUUCGACUGUCUAAUCAUUA
Molecule: long non-coding RNA, 562 nt
Filed under: Phoenix dactylifera (date palm)
Lineage: Eukaryota; Viridiplantae; Streptophyta; Magnoliopsida; Arecales; Arecaceae
Description: long non-coding RNA (PDAC_LNC007509)
Source: RNAcentral